This 397-nucleotide ribosomal RNA is filed under the name uncultured bacterium. RNAcentral's name for it is "partial 16S ribosomal RNA". It matches the Rfam family "Bacterial small subunit ribosomal RNA", at positions 523 to 918 of the family's 1533-position model. The record is from RNAcentral.
AUACGUAGGGGGCGAGCGUUGUCCGGAAUGAUUGGGCGUAAAGGGCGCGUAGGCGGCCUGUUAAGUCUGGAGUGAAAGUCCUGUUUUCAAGAUGGGAAUUGCUUUGGAUACUGAUGGGCUUGAGUGCAGGAGAGGUUAUCGGAAUUCCCGGUGUAGCGGUGAAAUGCGUAGAGAUCGGGAGGAACACCAGUGGCGAAGGCGGGUAACUGGACUGCAACUGACGCUGAGGCGCGAAAGUGUGGGGAGCAAACAGGAUUAGAUACCCUGGUAGUCCACACUGUAAACGAUGAAUGCUAGGUGUAAGAGGUAUCGACCCCUUUUGUGCCGGAGUUAACACAAUAAGUAUUCCGCCUGGGGAGUACGGCCGCAAGGUUGAAACUCAAAUGAAUUGGCGGGG